CUUGCUUUGAAAUAGCCAGAGAAAGAUAAGAUGAAGAAGAGCUACAACCUCAACCUUCUCUUUCUUGCGUUUCUCAUUGUCUUCUUCAAUUCCCUCUUUGCCAUAUCCAUUGCUUUUGAAUCUGAAACUGAUAAUGAAGUUCAAUAUACAUACAAGGAAGGAACUGGGAAAGGACCAAAGAAAUGGGGUCUUAUAAACAAAAAAUGGGAAGCAUGUAACAAUGGAAAAAUGCAAUCACCUGUCAAUAUUCUUAAAGAAAAAGUUGAAGUUUUGCCAGGUUUGGGCAAAUUAAAAAGGAACUACAAACCAGCUCCUGCAACAGUCAAGAAUAGGGGACAUGAUAUCACUGUGAGAUGGAAAGAAGAUGCAGGAAAAAUUAUGAUCAAUGGGACUGUUUUUAAACUACUACAAUGUCAUUGGCAUUCACCAUCUGAGCACACCUUCAAUGGUUCAAGGUAUGAGCUGGAGCUUCACAUGGUUCAUAUAAGCUCUGGAGGAGGGAAAGCUGUGAUAGGAAUAGUUUACAAAUAUGGGAGGGCUGAUCCCUUCCUUUCAAAGCUAUUUCAUCACAUAAAAUCAGUUGGGAAAGAGGAGAGAGAUUUAGGGAUGGUUAAUCCAGGAGAUAUCAAAUUUGGGAGCAGAAAAUAUUAUAGAUAUGUUGGUUCUCUUACAGUUCCUCCUUGCACUGAAGGAGUGAUUUGGACAAUUGGCAAGAAGGUAAGAACUGCUUCAAGGGAGCAAGUGAAAGCACUAAGGGAUGCUGUUCAUGAUGGUUUUAAGGCAAAUGCAAGGCCAAUUCAGCCAUUAGAUGGAAGAGCAAUUUAUUUGUACUCUCCCCACAAGAAUUAAUUAAGGCUCUGCUUGAAGUGCUUCAUAACAGAAAUACAAAAGAGAGUUGUUGAUGUGGUGCAUGCCACUAAUAAAAUAAACAACACCUCUAGAGACCACCAAUCACUCAAGCUCAAAGAUUUUCAAUCACACCAAUAAGUUCAUUUGCAUAAAAUGUUUUUUGCUUUAUCAUUGGUAUAUACCAAUUUUUAAAUUCUACACAUUUUCUCUUUAAGAGACUGUAUUUUCACAUAUAUAAAGACUUGCGAUUGAUAUAUUUUUGAAUAAUUUGAAUAAAGAUUUGAACUAAG
Molecule: unclassified non-coding RNA, 1139 nt
Filed under: Hevea brasiliensis (rubber tree)
Lineage: Eukaryota; Viridiplantae; Streptophyta; Magnoliopsida; Malpighiales; Euphorbiaceae
Source: RNAcentral